Molecule: long non-coding RNA, 510 nt
Filed under: Solanum tuberosum (potato)
Lineage: Eukaryota; Viridiplantae; Streptophyta; Magnoliopsida; Solanales; Solanaceae
Description: long non-coding RNA (STUB_LNC007017)
Source: RNAcentral
UUCAAGUACUGCUGCAAUUUUAAGGCUAUCUUUUGUAAACAAACAUUUGAAACAAACUAUAAGUUAUAACUUAAUCCAGAGACUGAUUCUCCUUGAAUCACUUAAAAAUUGUUGUUGUAUUCUUCAACAAAUUUUUUUGCAGGGCUGUAUUUCACACAUGGCAAGACAACUCAUUGGUAGGUAAGUUCAUAAGAUCCUUUGCACUUAAUUGUUAUUGAUUUACAUAUGUGGUUUGUGUGUAUGGAGUUCCGAACGAAUUCCGAGGAUUAUGAUCCUUUGCACUUAAUUGUUAUUGAUUUACAUAUGUGGUUUGUGUGUAUGGAGUUCCGAACGAAUUCUGAGGAUCCUUUCGAUGAUUUUUGUGUUGGCUGGUUUUCUGUGUUCUGGUGCAACACUCCGUGUUCGCAGAGCUUGUGGAUGUGUUCGUGAAUGGGAGGGGUGAGGACCUCGCAUUCGUGGAGUCUCGACCGCGUUCGCAGGAGGGACCUCCGCGUUCGUGGGAGACCUUUU